CCUACGGGAGGCAGCAGUGAGGAAUAUUGGUCAAUGGGCGCGAGCCUGAACCAGCCAAGUAGCGUGAAGGAUGACUGCCCUACGGGUUGUAAACUUCUUUUAUAAAGGAAUAAAGUGAGGCACGUGUGCCUUUUUGUAUGUACUUUAUGAAUAAGGAUCGGCUAACUCCGUGCCAGCAACCGCGGUAAUACGGAGGAUCCGAGCUGUAACCGGAUUUAAUGGGGUUAAAGGGAGCGGAGAUGGGUUGGUAAGUCAGUUGUGAAAGUUUGGGGCUCAAACGUCAAAUUGCAGUUGAUACUGGCAGUAUUGAGUACAGGUGAGGUAGGCGGAAUUCGUGGUGUAGCGGUGAAAUGCUUAGAUAUCACGAAGAACUCCGAUUGCGAAGGCAGCUUACCAAACUGCCACUGACAUUGAUGCUCGAAAGUGUGGGUAUCAAACAGGAUUAGAUACCCCUGUAGUC
RNAcentral lists this ribosomal RNA (460 nucleotides) under uncultured bacterium. RNAcentral describes it as "partial 16S ribosomal RNA". It matches the Rfam family "Bacterial small subunit ribosomal RNA", at positions 338 to 795 of the family's 1533-position model. The record is from RNAcentral.